Molecule: long non-coding RNA, 2820 nt
Organism: Prinia subflava (tawny-flanked prinia)
Lineage: Eukaryota; Metazoa; Chordata; Aves; Passeriformes; Cisticolidae
Exons: 2
Source: RefSeq, a predicted model, not a curated record
CCGGGGGCUCCGCGCCGCCGCUGCUGCUCAUGGGGGAGGCUCGGCGCGGCGGCGGCGGCGGCGGGGGCGGCUGCGGCGCUGGCGGGAGCGGCGGCGGCUGCCUCCUCGCCUCGCCCUCGAAAGACACGUCAUGACUUUGAACAGCCUGGUCCAAGGAGCCAGGACCUCAGCAUCCUCCUGGCACCUCGGCAUCCUCCAGGUACCUGGGCAUCCUCUGGGUACCUGGGCAUCUUCCUGGCACCUCGGCACUCUCCAGGCAUCUCAGCAUCCUUCUGGCACCUCGGCAUCCUCCGGGUACCUGGGCAUCCUCUGGGUACCUGGGCAUCCUCUGGGUACCUGGGCAUCUUCCUGCCACCCGGGCAUCCUCCUGGCAUUUUGGCAUCCCCAGCACCAGCCUCAGGGCCCCGUGUCCCCGGCAGGGAAGCGGAGAAGGAAUGGAUGGGAGGGGGAUGCCGAGGCCACACCUGCCCCGCCCGUACCUGUGCAGGGCCGAGCCCCGCUCCACAUCCCGGGGCCGCCGUUCUGGCCGUGCCCCGCCUGCACCGGGCCGGGGGCAGCCCCCAGGGCAGGACAGCGGCUGAGCCGGGCCGGGGCUGGCACCGGGAGAUGCUCCCGUCACCUCGGACCUGCGGGCAGGACUGCCCUGUGUCACCGCCCUGUGUCACCCCCUGUGUCACCCCCUGUGGCACCGCCCCGUGUCACCGCCCCGUGUCACCGCGGGGACACCGCACAGCCACCCCACGCCGCUGGUUCUGGAGGGUCUGAACAAGGAGAAGCCCUCGGCCCCUCAGCAUCAGGAGGAGCCCCCGUCCAGCUCUCCCCUUCUGCCACGCCGAGGUCACUUCGCCAUCCACACCUCUGACCACGACUUGGACAAACUCAGGGAACAGAGCUCUUGCAAGGGUUGUAAUUGGAAUAAAUAGUUUAGUGUUCAAACAGGCAUUGGGUAAGGACAGAGGCACAACAGUCUCCAUGAGCACACAGUGCUGGCUGCUGAGGUAACCAGGUUUCCACAGUACCAAAGCUGUUUUGCAUAGAAACUUUUAAUUGCUUCACAUGAGCACAAACCUUUAGAAUAAACAGGAAUUUGCUCACCUCAAGGUGCUGGAAUCAUGCUUGGAGUGUGUAAAUGUUUUCUGUCAUACUAUUUUACUUUUGACUAGACAGGAUGAAGCUUUUGAAUACAGAGGAUUUCUCCUAUUUUGUAGAGGCUUCUAUUCCUCCAAAUAAUGCAAGGAGAUUCCAUUUUUUUUGAGCAAAUAGUUCUCUGACAAAUCUAUCCAUCAAACCUAUUCACUUGGUUUAUUUUCCAAGGGAAAAAGGGACAAACAAAUUAAAAAAAAUUAAAUACUUAAAUAUUAUUACAUUUAUAGUCCUAAAAUAUGUAAAUCAACUGCAUUGAAUUUUCUAUUAGCUUUUAAAUAUUCACCUCGAUAUACAUUUGUUCUUCAGGGCACACAAGAGAUAAAUAAUUGAGUUAACAUUGCUAGAUAAAUCAAAUCUUUUUUCCUGAGCUGCAAAUAUUCCAGAUUAUAACCUUGAAGUCGCUAUGCAGUAACUACAAAUGGAAACUAAACAGAUCAAAGUGAGCAAGCAGGAGUCCACACUCAAGUACCCAGAGACCCAAUUUUCUGAGACAUCCAGGAGCAGCCCCAGCAUUUCAGCUUGCUGGAUCAAGACCAAAUAAAAUGUAAAACCUCUGAAAUAUAAAACCAAGCUUAAACACGGGGUGCAGGAGCAGCCUGGGAUUUGGGCUUGGGCCAUGAACAAUGUAAGGACACGAGAGUUAAAUCAAACAAAACACCCUCAAAACCAAGCCCCACAGCAAUUUUGGGUAUAGCUGUGGUUUUGAAUGUCUAAAUAGAUUGUGGUGACUUUCAGCCACAGACAGUGGGAGACCUAAUUCCAUUCUGGCUUCAGGAUCUUGUCUGCACUGAGCAGAAUUCAUAUUGCACAGCAUUACUUCUCUCCCAACAAUAAACUAACCCCUGUCAUUUGGGAGAUGAACUAAAAUAAUCCUAAUUACUCCCAUACAACUCCCAAUAGUGCCCAUGCAGGUGGAAGUGGACAGAAGGAAUUAACAGCUUCAGUUAAACCCUACUUGAAAACCAGUUUUUUGUGAGCUGCAGCCUCUUGACAGCACCAGGACAACAGGUGAAGUCAGAUAAAAAGCAAAGAAAAUGAUUUUCUUGUGUGUAUGUGGAUAUAAUGCUUUCCAUGCUCUUCUCUACAGGCCAGGCAAACUCCUCAAAAAAAAGAGGAUAGGUAAAAAAUAAGGGCAACAAGAAUCAGCUACACAGAGCUCUUCUGCCAUGUUGUGGAGAACUUUUAUUUUAUCACACCUGCUUCUGUGUUGGUGACCGAACUGAUCAGUUAUGAUCAGCUCCAGGGGCUCUUUGCAAACGUCUCUGUUGAUUUACCCAAGCAAACACCAAUGUGGGAACUAAAUUCAAUCCCAGGAUGGGCACUCUGCUCCAGCUAUGAGGAAAUUGGGAUUUAAAUUCAAUCCCAGGAUGGGCACUCUGCUCCAGCUAUGAGGAAAUUGGGAUUUAAAUUCAAUCCCAGGAUGGGCACUCUGCUCCAGCUAUGAGGAAAUUGGGAUUUAAAUUCAAUCCCAGGAUGGGCACUCUGCUCCAGCUACAAGGAAAUUGGGAUUUAAAUUCAAUCCGAGGAUGGGAACUCUGCUCCAGCUACAAGGAAAUUGGGAUUUAAAUUCAAUCCCAGGAUGGGAACUCUGCUCCACCUAUGAGGAAAUUUGGAUUUAAAUUCAAUCCCAGGAUGGGCACUCUGCUCCAGCUAUGAGGAAGUUGGGAUUUGACU